AUAAGGUUAAGUUAAUAAGGGCGCACGGUGGAUGCCUUGGCACUAGAAGCCGAAGAAGGACG
Molecule: ribosomal RNA, 62 nt
Filed under: Streptococcus agalactiae
Lineage: Bacteria; Bacillati; Bacillota; Bacilli; Lactobacillales; Streptococcaceae
Description: partial 23S ribosomal RNA
Source: RNAcentral